UACGUAGGGUGCUAGCGUUGUCCGGAAUUACUGGGCGUAAAGGGUUCGUAGGCGGCUUUUUAAGUCAGGUGUUAAAGAUCAUGGCUCAACCAUGGUACGCACUUGAAACUGGAAGGCUUGAGUUAAGGAGAGGAAAGUGGAAUUUCUAGUGUAGCGGUGAAAUGCGUAGAUAUUAGGAGGAAUACCAGUGGCGAAGGCGACUUUCUGGACUUAUACUGACGCUGAGGAACGAAAGCAUGGGUAGCAAACAGG
RNAcentral lists this ribosomal RNA (252 nucleotides) under uncultured bacterium. Its description in RNAcentral is "partial 16S ribosomal RNA". It matches the Rfam family "Bacterial small subunit ribosomal RNA", at positions 524 to 776 of the family's 1533-position model. The record is from RNAcentral.